Molecule: ribosomal RNA, 253 nt
Filed under: uncultured bacterium
Lineage: Bacteria
Description: partial 16S ribosomal RNA
Rfam family: Bacterial small subunit ribosomal RNA
Source: RNAcentral
UACGGAGGGUGCAAACGUUGCUCGGAAUCAUUGGGCGUAAAGCGCACGUAGGCGGACCGCUAAGUCGGAUGUGAAAGCCCUCGGCUUAACCGAGGAAGUGCAUUCGAAACUGACAGUCUUGAGUAUGGAAGAGGGUCGCGGAAUUCCCGGUGUAGAGGUGAAAUUCGUAGAUAUCGGGAGGAACACCUGUGGCGAAGGCGGCCGACUGGACGAUCACUGACACUGAGACGCGAAAGCGUGGGUAGCAAACAGG